This 240-nucleotide ribosomal RNA is filed under the name uncultured Lactobacillus sp. Its description in RNAcentral is "partial 16S ribosomal RNA". It matches the Rfam family "Bacterial small subunit ribosomal RNA", at positions 122 to 355 of the family's 1533-position model. The record is from RNAcentral. Lineage: Bacteria; Bacillati; Bacillota; Bacilli; Lactobacillales; Lactobacillaceae.
UAACCUGCCCAAGAGAUCGGGAUAACACCUGGAAACAGAUGCUAAUACCGGAUAACAACAGAUGAUGCCUAUCAACUGUUUAAAAGAUGGUUCUGCUAUCACUCUUGGAUGGACCUGCGGUGCAUUAGCUAGUUGGUAGGGUAACGGCCUACCAAGGCGAUGAUGCAUAGCCGAGUUGAGAGACUGAUCGGACACAUUGGGACUGAGACACGGCCCAAACUCCUACGGGAGGCAGCAGCC